RNAcentral lists this transfer RNA (35 nucleotides) under Setophaga discolor (prairie warbler). Its description in RNAcentral is "partial tRNA-Glu". The record is from RNAcentral. Lineage: Eukaryota; Metazoa; Chordata; Aves; Passeriformes; Parulidae.
GAAAAGCCGUCGUUACAGCAUUUAACUACAGGAAC